Molecule: ribosomal RNA, 254 nt
Filed under: uncultured bacterium
Lineage: Bacteria
Description: partial 16S ribosomal RNA
Rfam family: Bacterial small subunit ribosomal RNA
Source: RNAcentral
UACGUAGGGUGCGAGCGUUGUCCGGAAUUAUUGGGCGUAAAGAGCUCGUAGGCGGUUUGUUGCGUCGGCUGUGAAAUCCCGAGGCUCAACCUCGGGUCUGCAGUCGAUACGAGCAAACUAGAGUGUUGCAGGGGAGACUGGAAUUCCUGGUGUAGCGGUGAAAUGCGCAGAUAUCAGGAGGAACACCGGUGGCGAAGGCGGGUCUCUGGGCCGAUACUGACGCUGGAGGAGCGAAAGCGUGGGGAGCAAACAGG